AAUGGAGGAAACUCUGAUGCAGCAACGCCGCGUGGAGGACGAAGGUUUUCGGAUUGUAAACUCCUGUCUUUUGGGACGAUAAUGACGGUACCAAAAGAGGAAGCCACCGCUAACUACGUGCCAGCAGCCGCGGUAAUACGUAGGGGGCAAGCGUUNUCCGGAAUCACUGGGCGUAAAGGGUGCGUAGGCGGCUUAUCAAGCCAGGGGUGAAAGGCAUUGGCUCAACCGAUGUAAGCCUUUGGAACGGAUAGGAUUGAGUGCAGGAGAGGUAAGUGGAAUUCCUAGUGUAGAGGUGAAAUUCGUAGAUAUUAGGAGGAACACCAGUGGCGAAGGCGACUUACUGGACUGUAACUGACGCUGAGGCACGAAAGCGUGGGUAGCGAA
Molecule: ribosomal RNA, 384 nt
Filed under: uncultured bacterium
Lineage: Bacteria
Description: bacterial SSU rRNA
Rfam family: Bacterial small subunit ribosomal RNA
Source: RNAcentral